RNAcentral lists this ribosomal RNA (301 nucleotides) under uncultured bacterium. RNAcentral's name for it is "partial 16S ribosomal RNA". It matches the Rfam family "Bacterial small subunit ribosomal RNA", at positions 509 to 807 of the family's 1533-position model. The record is from RNAcentral.
CAGUCGCCGCGGUAAUACGAAGGGUGCAAGCGUUAAUCGGAAUUACUGGGCGUAAAGCGUGCGUAGGCGGUGAGCUAAGUCUGCUGUGAAAUCCCCGGGCUCAACCUGGGAAUGGCAGUGGAUACUGGCUCGCUAGAGUGUGUCAGAGGAUGGUGGUAUUCCCGGUGUAGCGGUGAAAUGCGUAGAGAUCGGGAGGAACAUCAGUGGCGAAGGCGGCCAUCUGGGACAACACUGACGCUGAGGCACGAAAGCGUGGGGAGCAAACAGGAUUAGAUACCCCUGUAGUCCCUGUCUCUUAUAC